RNAcentral lists this ribosomal RNA (1350 nucleotides) under uncultured bacterium. RNAcentral's name for it is "16S ribosomal RNA". It matches the Rfam family "Bacterial small subunit ribosomal RNA", at positions 27 to 1400 of the family's 1533-position model. The record is from RNAcentral.
GGAUGAACGCUAGUAGUAUGCUUAACACAUGCAAGUCUAACGGAAAUUUUUUCGUGGCGUACGGGUGAGUAAACGCAGAAUUUUGCCUUUCAGAUCAGGACAAAUAUUUUCUUCGGGAAAUAAAAUACUGAAUGUAAAUAAAAGGUUUAAUCCGCUGAAAGAUAAAUCUGCUUAAGAUUAGGUUGUUGGUAAUUUAAAAGCUUACCAAGCCAAUGAUCUUUAGUUGGUCUGAGAGGAUGAUCAACCACACUGGAACUGAAAUAAGGUCCAGGCUAAUACGUUGGCCAGCAGUGAGGAAUAUUGGACAAUGAACGAAAGUUUGAUCCAGCAAUACUAAUUGGGUUACGACGGCUUAUUUAGUUGUAAGAUCCUUUAAUUAAAAAAGAUAAUGACAUUAUUUAAUUGAAUUAGUCCUGGCUAAUACUCGUGCCAGCAGCCGCGGUAAUACGGGAAGGGCAAGCGUUAUCCGGCAUGACUGGGCGUAAAGAGUCCGUAGACGGUAAAGUAAGUUUUUUGUUAAAUUUUAAGACUCAAUCUUAACACAGCAAUUAAUACUACUUUACUUUGAGUUUAAUACAGAAAAGUAGAAUUUUAUACGGUAGAGGUGAAAUUUGCAGAUAUAUAAAGGAAUGCCAACAGCGAAGGCAACUUUUUGGUAUAAACUGACGUUGAGGGACGAAAGCGUGGGUAGCAAACGGGAUUAGAGACCCCGGUAGUCCACGCCGUAAAUUCUGAGUGCUGUAAUUUAAUUGUAAUAUUUGCGAAAAUAUUAUUUAGAUUUUCAAGCUAACGCAAUAAGCACUCCGCCUGAAGAGUACGAUCGCAAGAUUGGAACUCAAAGGAAUUGACGGGGGUCUAACACUAGUGGUGGAGCAUGUGGUUUAAUGCGAUAAUCCGCGCAAAACCUUACCAAUUCUUGACAUAAUUAAAUAAUUAGAUUAAGUUACAUGAUGUACUUAAUUCAAUUACUUUUUUACAGGUGUUGCACGACUGUCGUCAGCUCGUGUCGUGAGAUGUUUGGUUAAGUCCUGAAACGGGCGUAACUCUUACUUUUAAAUUUUUAACGUAUUAAAGAUUUCUUUAAUUGCUUUAAAAGUACGGUCAAUGAUAAGUUGAAGGAAGGUAAGAACAAAGUCAAGUCAAUGUGACCCUAAUGAAUUGGGCUACUUCAUGUGCUACAAUGAAAAUUACAAAAAGUGACGAAAAAGAAAUUUCAAGUUAAUCAACAAAAAUUUUCCCAGUUCGGAUUGUAGACUGCAACUCGUCUACAUGAAGGUGGAAUCACUAGUAAUCGCAAAUCAGCACGUUGCGGUGAACAUGUAACUUGACCUUGUACACACCGCCCGUCAC